CCACUUUUCUACCUUCUCUCUAGAGUUCAUUGAGUAAUGACAAUCGUGCUUCAAUUGAUGUAUUUAUCACGCACAACUAGCCUCUCGCUGCAAUGCAAAUUGCCUGUAAUUAAUGCAUAGUCCAAAAUACAGUCAAUUGGGUCUUUGAAUAGCAUGUUUCUAAUACUAUUAACAAUGUUUUACUUUAUUAUGUGACAGGGGCACGGAUUUGGGCAUGGAGUCUGCGGAGCUAAACCGAGGAUACACUCAUGCCUUUGAAUCUACAUUUGAGAGCAAGUCAGGUUUGCAAGAGUACCUCGAUUCUGCUGCUCUUGCUGCAUUUGCAGAAGGAUUUUUGCCUACUUUGUCACAGCGUCUUGUGAUAGACUACUUUCUCUACUAAAUGCUCAGGAGUAACGACUUCGGCCGGGCUAUUUCAUGGGAAUAAAGUAAUGUAAUGUGCAAUAAAUGCUGGUUUUGAACCACUGAAUGUUCGUGUCUUGAUUUCUUGUUUGUGCUGUGCUAUGUGAAGGGAGUGCUGCUAUUCCUUAAAAAUAAAACCCUUGGGGUUGAGUUGUUGUUUUUCAAUCUUUUUCCCCGGUUAAUUUCGGUCUUGGUGUUGUUUUCUUCCCAUUUUAUGCCAUUAUCCUCGAAUGAGCUCCACCAUUGACGCACUUUCACGACUGACUGCGUGCGUAUGUACUUCUCUGAUGCCAAAUGCCAAGAGGAAAAAAGAAACGAUAAGAAGAGGAAAAGGAAAGAACCAGCAUCGAUACUGGAAACAACCCUCACAAUAAAAGCUAAAAUGUAAGGAUUCAUCACUUAAAGAAUCUGCCGUUUAAAACAAGUGAAUUUGCAUUGGCCCUUCGACAUUUUUAUUUGUUAUUUUCUGUUAUUGGAUCCUUCUUUCAAUUAAUUUAUUUGGCACGUCACAUGUUUCGCAUGAACUUCAGUCGGUGUUUUGUGGACGGUAAAGCGAAAGGAAGAAAAGGCCAAACAAAUUUUUUGGAAGUGCAUGAUGAAAAAUCAAGACCGGACCUUGUAGACAAGUUUACCAGUCAAAUUAAACGGGCAGGACAAGAAUUUAGAAUUCAAAUAUCGGAAGCCAUAUAUAUAUAUAUAUAUAUAUAUAUAUGACGUGUAAAAAGCAAGGAUGGAAAGAAUAUUCCAGUGUCAGAACGUAGACAUAGUCAACUAGAAUGCAAACACUUUUAUUGACGAGUUCCAACCGACGUUAAUGCACCAGGGUAAUUAAUGUUAAAAUUUUGAAGAAAAAAAAUCGUUUGAGUUGUUAUGUUGAUACAGAAAUAUAUCUCAUUCUCGAGUAAAAAAAUAUCCUCUCAUCAUAAGAACCAUGCGUGGGCCAUGCGAGUGAUCCGCCAGGCAAACUUAUGAUUAUUUUUUUGGGCAAAUAACAGGUCAUCAUUCUCUUAAAGAUACAAACCAUAAAAAUCCAGGCACGUGAGACCCGCAUGCCCGAGCUCUUUUUUAAGAGGGUCCAACGUGCUGAACCGUUAGGCUCUUUUUUAGUUUUUUCAUUUAUUUUUUGUCUGUUGUAUGAUAAAAUUAAGGAAAAAAAUGUUAGAUUUGGUUUGGUUAUUUGCGGUCACGAUUUUGAUAAGUUAAGACAUGAUAUCCAAUGGCCUUUUUUUUUAUGCAUUUCAAUUAAAAAAUAUAUAUAUAUAAUCUAAUUCUUUAUUAUCAUUGAUUUUUUUAUUUGACUUAAAAUAAAAGGAAUGCAAUCUCAUCUCAUCCCCUUUUUUAAUCAUGCACCAUAGAGAAAUUAUAUCUAAUUUAGAUCAUGUUCAUGGAACUGGUUGUAAAUUUUUUCAGUUUAUUCAAGCGGAAUGGAGUCGAUAUAACAUGAUAUAUUUUUUAAUUUUUUUUUUGUAAGUUUAAUUUUCCUUCAUAUUUAAUCCCUUUUUUUUUGUCAAUUAAGACACAAUCAAGAAGAGAAUAGGGAAAGGAAAAUAAAAGAAACG
Molecule: long non-coding RNA, 1961 nt
Filed under: Populus trichocarpa (black cottonwood)
Lineage: Eukaryota; Viridiplantae; Streptophyta; Magnoliopsida; Malpighiales; Salicaceae
Description: long non-coding RNA (PTRI_LNC002559)
Source: RNAcentral